Molecule: ribosomal RNA, 495 nt
Filed under: uncultured bacterium
Lineage: Bacteria
Description: partial 16S ribosomal RNA
Rfam family: Bacterial small subunit ribosomal RNA
Source: RNAcentral
GACGAACGCUGGCGGCGUGCCUAAUACAUGCAAGUAGAACGCUGAAGGAGGAGCUUGCUUCUCUGGAUGAGUUGCGAACGGGUGAGUAACGCGUAGGUAACCUGCCUGGUAGCGGGGGAUAACUAUUGGAAACGAUAGCUAAUACCGCAUAAGAGUAGAUGUUGCAUGACAUUUGCUUAAAAGGUGCAAUUGCAUCACUACCAGAUGGACCUGCGUUGUAUUAGCUAGUUGGUGAGGUAACGGCUCACCAAGGCAACGAUACAUAGCCGACCUGAGAGGGUGAUCGGCCACACUGGGACUGAGACACGGCCCAGACUCCUACGGGAGGCAGCAGUAGGGAAUCUUCGGCAAUGGACGGAAGUCUGACCGAGCAACGCCGCGGGAGUGAAGAAGGUUUUCGGAUCGUAAAGCUCUGUUGUAAGAGAAGAACGAGUGUGAGAGUGGAAAGUUCACACUGUGACGGUAUCUGACCAGAAAGGGACGGCUAACUACGUG